Molecule: ribosomal RNA, 468 nt
Filed under: uncultured bacterium
Lineage: Bacteria
Description: partial 16S ribosomal RNA
Rfam family: Bacterial small subunit ribosomal RNA
Source: RNAcentral
GACGAACGCUGGCGGCGGGCUUAACACAUGCAAGUCGAACGGAAAGGCCCUGCUUUUGUGGGGUGCUCGAGUGGCGAACGGGUGAGUAACACGUGAGUAACCUGCCCUUGACUUUGGGAUAACUUCAGGAAACUGGGGCUAAUACCGGAUAGGAGCUCCUGCUGCAUGGUGGGGGUUGGAAAUUUUCGGCGGUUGGGGAUGGACUCGCGGCUUAUCAGCUUGUUGGUGGGGUAGUGGCUUACCAAGGCUUUGACGGGUAGCCGGCCUGAGAGGGUGACCGGGCACAUUGGGCCUGAGAUACGGCCCAGACUCCUACGGGAGGCAGCAGUGGGGAAUAUUGCACAAUGGGCGGACGCCUGAUGCAGCAACGCCGCGUGCGGGAUGACGGCCUUCGGGUUGUAAACCGCUUUCGCCUGUGACGAAGCGUGAGUGACGGUAAUGGGUAAAGAAGCACCGGCUAACUACGUG